CCCUCUGUAGCUCGGUGGCAGAGCACUGGUCUUGUAAACCAGGGGUCGUGAGUUCAAUCCUCACAGGGA
RNAcentral lists this transfer RNA (69 nucleotides) under Acanthoscelides obtectus. It matches the Rfam family "tRNA". From Rfam's summary of the family: Transfer RNA (tRNA) molecules are approximately 80 nucleotides in length. Their secondary structure includes four short double-helical elements and three loops (D, anti-codon, and T loops). Further hydrogen bonds mediate the characteristic L-shaped molecular structure. tRNAs have two regions of fundamental functional importance: the anti-codon, which is responsible for specific mRNA codon recognition, and the 3' end, to which the tRNAs corresponding amino acid is attached (by aminoacyl-tRNA synthetases). tRNAs cope with the degeneracy of the genetic code in two manners: having more than one tRNA (with a specific anti-codon) for a particular amino acid; and 'wobble' base-pairing, i.e. permitting non-standard base-pairing at the 3rd anti-codon position. Lineage: Eukaryota; Metazoa; Arthropoda; Insecta; Coleoptera; Chrysomelidae. The record is from Rfam by way of RNAcentral.